CCUACGGGAGGCAGCAGUGGGGAAUAUUGGACAAUGGGCGCAAGCCUGAUCCAGCAAUGCCGCGUGAGUGAUGAAGGCCUUAGGGUUGUAAAGCUCUUUUACCCGAGAUGAUAAUGACAGUAUCGGGAGAAUAAGCUCCGGCUAACUCCGUGCCAGCAGCCGCGGUAAUACGGAGGGAGCUAGCGUUGUUCGGAAUUACUGGGCGUAAAGCGCACGUAGGCGGUUAUUCAAGUCAGAGGUGAAAGCCCAGUGCUCAACACUGGAACUGCCUUUGAAACUAGAUAGCUUGAAUCCAGGAGAGGUGAGUGGAAUUCCGAGUGUAGAGGUGAAAUUCGUAGAUAUUCGGAAGAACACCAGUGGCGAAGGCGGCUCACUGGACUGGUAUUGACGCUGAGGUGCGAAAGCGUGGGGAGCAAACAGGAUUAGAUACCCGUGGUAGUCCACGCCGUAAACGAUGAUAACUAGCUGUCGAGGCGACAUGGUUGGUUUGGUUGGUCGGCGAGCGUACGACGAGUUAAGUUAGUCCGUCCGUCGGGUAGGUACGGUCGGUCGUAAGAAGUUAAAGUUAC
This 569-nucleotide ribosomal RNA is filed under the name uncultured bacterium. RNAcentral's name for it is "bacterial SSU rRNA". It matches the Rfam family "Bacterial small subunit ribosomal RNA", at positions 338 to 873 of the family's 1533-position model. The record is from RNAcentral.